RNAcentral lists this ribosomal RNA (252 nucleotides) under uncultured bacterium. Its description in RNAcentral is "partial 16S ribosomal RNA". It matches the Rfam family "Bacterial small subunit ribosomal RNA", at positions 524 to 776 of the family's 1533-position model. The record is from RNAcentral.
UACGGGGGGGCAAGCGUUGUUCGGAAUUACUGGGCGUAAAGCGUACGCAGGCGGCUUUGCAAGACAGGUGUGAAAUCCCCGGGCCUAACCUGGGAACUGCAUUUGUGACUGCAUAGCUAGAGUUUGUCAGAGGGGGGUGGAAUUCCACGUGUAGCAGUGAAAUGCGUAGAUAUGUGGGGGAACACCGAUGGCGAAGGCAGCCCCCUGGGAUGUGACUGACGCUCAUGUACGAAAGCGUGGGGAGCAAACAGG